RNAcentral lists this long non-coding RNA (10898 nucleotides) under Homo sapiens (human). RNAcentral describes it as "non-protein coding lnc-KLF7-1:42". The record is from RNAcentral. Lineage: Eukaryota; Metazoa; Chordata; Mammalia; Primates; Hominidae.
ACUAUUGAAGGAGCUUUAGCCGCUGCAAAUCUUAUCCUUCCUCCCUCCAGGUUUUCUUCAGUGUCGAAAUUGGUAUGGAGACGUGGAUGGAGAUUUGAGUCUUAGGAAUUUGGGAAGAGCUCAAGUGAUUCAGAAUGAAAAGACCUUGGCACAGACCUGUUAAGGAAGCUCCAUAUAAGGGCCACCGGGGUUGGCUGAGUCAGAAUACCAGCCAUGUGGCAUGUCGCAUGGGGCAAGAGCUGUGCUGCCCAUGGGAGUCCAGAGAAGGAGCACACUAAGGACCAACACCAGAGAGAAGACAGCUGUCUGCAAACCAGAAAGAGAGUCCUCACUGCACUUCAUAUCUGCCAAUGGAUCCUUGCUCUUGAACCUCCCAACCUGCAGAAUCAUGAGAAACAAACAUUGUCAUUUGCUCUAGGGGAAGCCUGCAGCUAUGUCAUGAGGACCCUCAACAGCCCUGUGCAGAGGACUAUGUGGCAUGAAAGAUACCUUCUGCCAACAACCAGCCCCAACUUGCCAAGCAUGUGAACAAGCUAAACUGAAAGCAGAUCUUCAGCCCCAAUCAAGCCUUCAGAUGACAGUAACCUCAGCCAAUAUACUGACUAUAACCUCAUAAAAGACCCUGAACCAGAACCCUCUAAGCCACUCUCAAACUCUACCCCACAUAAACUGUGAAAUAAUAUAUGUUUAUUGUUAUUUUGGGCCACUAAGUUUAGGGGUAAUUUGUUAUGCAGCAAUUAUAUAACCAAUAUUCCAACUAAAGCUGAAAUGCCUCCUGCAUUUCCUCCCUCAGUGGCCUACACUACAAUCCAAGUUCAGGAAAAAACGAGAACCUUAUUUAAGGUAGUGGCAAGAAAUGAAUGGAUUAACUGGACAUUUAAAAAGUAUUUGAUAGAACUUGGUGAUAGGAGGUGGGGCAGUUAGGGACUAGCAGGAAUUUAGGAUGAGAGGCUCAUUCAGUUGGGCUUAUGUUUUACUGAGGUCAAUUCCAAAAGGAAGGAAAGAAAAAUCCAGCCAAAUAACCUUUAAUGGACUAAGUCUUCUUUCAUAAGUCAGUUUGCACAACUUCUUCACAGGAAUCAGAUUUUAAAUAUCAUAACUGAAGAGAAAAAAAACAGCAAGAGGAGUUUACCUUUAUGGUGGAAUGACACUAAUCUUUCAUGCUUUCAAAUUUCUUGAAAUUUCCUUCGUAUGCAUUAUCUUAUUUGCUGUUCACAGUAAAACUGUGUAUUGGCUAAGCCAGUUUUUAUGAAAAUAUAAGCAGUGAGAAAAAGUAAGAUAGUAUGUCAGUUAGUAGAUUUUUUUAUGGACAUUGUGACAGAGGACACAACUUAAACUGGCUUUUUUUUUUUUUUUUUUUUUUUUGAGACAGAGUUUUGCUCUUGUUGCCCAGGCUGGAGUGCAAUGGCACGAUCUCGGCUCACUGCAACCUCCGCCCCCUGGGUUCAAGUGAUUCUCCUGCCUCAGCCUCCCGAGUAGCUGGAAACACAGGUGCCUGCCACCGCGUCCGGCUAAUUUUUUGUAUUUUUAGUAGAGAUGGAGUUUCACCAUGUUGGCCAGGCUAGUCUCAAACUCCUGACCUCAGGUGAUCCACCUGCCUCAGCCUCCCAAACUGCUGGGAUUACAGGUGUGAGCCACCGCACCUGGCAAAAGGGUUUUGUUUCUAAAGGUACAAGAACAGGUACAGCUUCGGGUCAGUGUGAUUCAGCCCUCAACAAAGCCACCAGGAUCCAUUUCUUGGCUCUGCUUCAUUGCUUCUCAUAGGCUGGCUCAUUCUCAGACUGUACGUGAUAUGGUUCAGUGGCUUUAGGCUCCAAGCAUGACAACACCCAACACUCAGAUUGAUGGAGCUAGAGCAAGUCUCUUCAGGCAGCGUCUAGGAAAGUUCUGAAAUUCACUCUGAUUGGCUGCCCAUCUCUGAAUCAACCACGUAACCCAAGGAAAUAGGAACUGCUGAUGGGUCAGGGUCGGUUCACAUGCUUCAUACCUGGAGCUGAGAAGACAUCAACUCCAUCCUGGAGCUCAUGGGCUGUGACUAGAGCAGACGGAGUUCUCAGAGGAAAGUCAGAGUACAGUUAUCAAAGCAAGCAGUUACAGAUGCUAGAUGACCAAAAUCCAAUAACUGCCCAGUAAAAAUAUUAUACUAAAAUCUAGGAACAUGUGGCUGAUGGACAGUCAUUACCAGGAAAAAAAAGUUGUUAGGUCUAAAUGUAAAAAUUGAGGCAAAGAAAGUGCCCGAGCUAGAAUUAGAACCCUGACUACCUGAAUAUUAGAUCGGUUAGUGCCACUUCUACCCUACCGCUGCUGAGGGGGGAGGUGAACAGUCUCUCAGGUUGCAGACAGUGGAUGGUUUCCCUCCCUCUAUCUUCUCAUUUCAUGGUGGAGCUGAAUCAUCCUAUGUUCUACAUGCUGACAGUGGAAGGUUAUGACCAUACCCAUAUCCUGUUGUCUCUGAGUCUCCUGUGGUGCAGAGAUCCCUGAGACUUGUAGAACAGAACCUGAGUGGAAAGUGGGAGGGGGAUUGGGGGUGGUUCCCACGAAUCAAGCAGCAACCUGGAGACAAGGAACACCUGCAACCUCAGCAGUGGAUCAGAACGGCUGACUGAGCAAUGGACAUACUGUGCAUCUUUCAUUAGUGCUGAGACCAACUUCUAGCUUGGAGUCCCAUGAAAGGGAAACUUAGCCCUAACACCACAACAAGGAGCACAGUGUCAAGUGGGGACAUUGCAGCAGAGUUGCCGCAAAGACUCUGAAGUGCUAUGGGAAGGGAUAUUUCCUAGGAGGGGUUAAAGGGAUUCUCCUUAAGAAGGGGGCUGGGGGAAUCUGAGUAAGAGGUGGGGGAAAGCAGCCAAAGCAUGAUACUUAGUCAUAGCAUCACAAGAAUUUGACUCAGAGUUCCUACAAGGUUGUCCUAAAAUGCCCUGGUUCAGGUGGGUCAGCUUUGAAAGCACCCAAAUUACCCCGUUUUCUGUACUAUGUUUAAAGGCAAUUUGAAAGAAAGACCCCUAAUUUGGAAACAUGUGCUAAGGCUAAAUCACUUUUUCAACUGAAAAUUCUUUUUUAUGUAUUGUUACACUCCAUUUUCUGUCUUGUGUUUUUUGUUGUUGUUGUUAUUUGUUUCUUUUUUCUUUUUCUUUCUUUUUUUUUUUUUUUUGAGACAGAGUCUCGCUCUGUCCCCAGGCUAGAGUGUAGUGGCGCGAUCUAGGCUCACUGCCACCUCUGCCUCCCAGGUUCAAGCAAUUCUCUUGCCUCAGCCUCCUGAGUAGCUGGGAUUAUAGGCGCCCACCACCACACCCAGCGACUUUUUGUAUUUUUAGUAGAGAUGGGGUUUCGUCAUGUUGGCCAGGCUGCUCUUGAACUCCUGACCUCAGGUGAUCUGCCUCCCUCGGCCUCCCAAAGUGCUGGGAUUACAGGCGUGAGCCACCGCACCCCAGCCCAUUUCCUGAAUUUCAGGGGGAGUGAAUUAAUUCUAAUAUAGAGAGUGGGUAAAAGGACCAAUUUUUUCAUUACUAUUUGACUUCAUAUCAUCUUGCUUUGCAAUGCCCUGGUUUUUACAUCUAUAAAUCAGAAAUGAUAAGCAACCUGCUUUAUAGGAAUGCAAUGAAGAUAAGGAGAUACAAUAUAAAAAUAUACAUUGAGUCAGAAAGACAGAUAACACUAUUUAAACCAGUGUAUUCUUAUAAUCCUCAUUAUUACUAAGAAUGAUGUUAACAGUUAUGAUAAAAAGUCAACAUGCAGAAAGAAGAGAAUAAAGUAAUUUCUAGUUUGGGCCAAGAUGUACUCUGUAGACAUGAAUUUUUAAAAGAUGAGUGGUUAACACUUAGCAUUUGAUUCUGUGCUUGUUAUAAGUGAGCAACUGAGAAUUUCUAUCUUUUGGAGAGAGAGAGAGAGAGAGAGAGAGAGUGUGUGUGUGUGUGUGUGUGUGUGUGUGUGUGUGUGUGUUAUACAGGGAACAAGCAUUAUUUUGCAUUUGAGGUCAAAACUGGAGAAAUCAGGGAGACGUCAAGUUUUGUUCAUUAACUUUCAUACCUUUCUAACAACAGCCCCCAGAUUAAACCAAUCUUCUACUGUCAAAUUUGGGGACAUUUUCUUUAGUGGAUGGUCAUAAAUCUUGAGGGGAAUAUUGCUCACUUCUUUUAAGAAUUAAUGGUGAUUCCUAGGUGGGAGUAUGGAGUCAUGUAUCAUACCCUGAAGCAUUAUGUUUUUCCCAGCAGAGAUGCUCAAUAGAAGUCUGGAAGCUUUUGCGGCUGCCAGCAAUUUCAUGGUUACUGUCCGAAGCAGAAAGGGCACAUCAUCAAAUUCUUCCUUCUAAUGCAAUUUUGCCUUCCUGGAAUUUGUACUAUUUUUCUUACAUGGAUAGGGAAUUUUUUUUGAGAGUGCACAGUCAUGUUAAAGUAAAUACCCUGGAGAAAUACUUUCAAUUAAAAUUCAGAAGUUUUAAAAUCCAGGCUAGAAAGGAUUUCCCUGACCUACAAAACCUAAUAAGAUAUUUUUUCUUUCCAUUUUCUCCCUCCUCAUUCCCCUAAGUGUGUGGAGCUGUCCUGCUUUCUUACCUGGUGGCCCCAUUUAGCUUUGCCUUCUAGACAUUUAAGUCAGAAAAUGGCUUUAAAGAAUGUUUUGAGAAAACUUGACAUACUGAUCUACUCUCAACUCAAUGAUUUUCUUUUUUUUGAGUGGAAAAGAGAAAGAAACCACAGAAGCAAAGCAAUAAUAAAAUCUUUUAGUCAAGUAAGAAAAAUUUGACCAGGAGAUACAGAGAUAGUAUUUGUGGUGAUUGAGGCAGUUAAUACCAGAAAAGUUUAGAAAGCAGAGAUUUUGAGGCCCGAAGGGAGGGGAGUCAAACAGGCAGCAAGUCGACGUGGAGCAAGAUAGUCUUAUGUUGGAGAGUGGCCCUCUCCUCUGUGGGGCCUGGGCCUGGCAUUUCAUCUCUCGGUUGGGCUAUGAAUGCCUAGGUUGCAGAAUUUCUUAGUGAGUUUUGCACAUUAUAUAUGCAACACACCUAUGCAAUAUGAGUACAGUGCCUCAAACCUAGGUACUCAGUUAUUUAGAGUUACCAUUGUAAAAUAUUAAAUGCCUGGGUAUGAAAGAAUGAAAAUCUCUUCCUCUCUCAAUGUGUUCUCGGGAUUAUGGCUUUAAAAAAUAGCUGUUCAACUAAAACUAAUUAAAACUUCCAGGUUAGAACCUAGAAGCAGACAUACAACGACUAAAAUGAGUGCAAGAGGAUAAUGGUGUCCAUUAGAGAUUAUUCUUACUCAGAGGCAGGGCUAGGACUAGGGAGAGGCAAGAGAAGCAUCCAGGGUGAACACUUAAGAGGCACCCAGCUUCAGGGCCUGCAGGCACUAAGCCUGAGCUUGCACAACACUGAGAGUGCGACUCCAUGCCCUACCCUAGGCCCUGUCCUGUUCAAAGGACAUCCUACCUGGCUCAUUGGCAGGAUAUCUUGCCCCGUCCCCAAUGGUUUCUUUCACACUCGCAAUACCUGGAGACAAAACAGCCACCAUUGUCAGACUUCUUUGACUUUCCAAACAAACUCCAGAAAGAUCAUUACAGGACCCAGCAUGAGAAGGGAAACCGAGGUGCAUUGAAAGCAAUAAAAUUUAACCGCAGAGAUGAUUUCAUGUUCAAUCAUCAAAAUACACAGAGGGACUUGCUAAAAUGUCCACCGUUGAGGGUAACAACCCAUGACCUUAUUCUUUCUCACACCAGCCUUAGUAUAUAUAAAUGCUAAGAAUAGCAAACAGGAUCUUUUUUAUUGGCUUUUCAAGAACAACAUUGGGGCCUGGAAGACACCAGUCACCUUCAAAAACAAGCAACAAUAGGAAGCUUGAAGCUGUUGGUGCACAGCUUUCAACAUACACACUUUUUAAAAAAUAAUUUCAACUUAAAAAUUUUAGAUUUAGGAGGUACAUGUGUGGGUUUGUUACAUGGGUAUAUUGCAUGAUGCUGAGGUUUGCGGUACGAUUGAUCCCAUCACCCAGGUACUGAGCAUAGUUGCCAAUUGGUGGUUGUUUUUAACCCUUGUUCCACUCCCUUCCUCUCCAUUCGAGUAGUCCCUACUGACUAUUGUUGCCCUCUUUAGUCUAUGAGCAGCCAAUGUUUAGCUCCCCCUUAUAAGUGAGAACAUGUGGUAUUUGGUUUUCUGUUCCUGCAUUAACUUGCUUAGGAUAGUGGCCUCCAGCAGCAUCUAUGUUGUUGUAAAAGACAUGAUUGCAUUCUUUUUAUGGCUGUAUAGUAUUUCACAGUGAACAUAUUUUUCUUAGACAUUGUUUUCAAAACAUUUCAUUGCUUGAUUUGCUCAACCCCAUUCUCCAUCUAAAUCAUUUGUAAACAUAGCCUGAUAAUUACUUUGGAUUAAUUGGUAUUAUUUGAUAAAAUCAUACAAAGCUAGAUUUUUGAGAAUGGUAAUAUGUUAGGAAUGUGUUUGGCUAUGAGUAACAGAAAACCCAACUACAUGACUUUUAGCAUAGGGGUUUAUUUUUCUUAUGUAACAAGAUAUCCAGACUCAGGCAGUUUCUGGUAUAGGUUCAGUUCCUUAGUUCUCUGGGUCAUUCUCUCAUAAUAAUGACAUGGCUGGGUAGCUCCAACUACUGAGGCAGUAUAUAAGGCAGAGAGAAGGAGGGGCAGUGGAAGGAAGGCACACCAUGGUUGUCCCCUUUUACAAAGAAAGCAAAAGCUUCCCCAGCAACCCAUACCAGCCCCCCUCAUUAUGGGUUGAGUGUUGUCCUCUCCAAAGCCAGAUAUGUUUUUCCCAACCUCCAGUACCUCUGAAUCAGCAUAGUUUUUGUUCUUUGUGAAUCUGAACUUACUUGGAGAUAGGUCUUUACAGAGGUAAUCAAAUUAAAAGGGUGACGGUCAUUGGGGUGGACCCUAACCCAAUAUAAAAAAGGGAAAUGUGGACACAGAGACAUGCAUACUAGGAGAGAACCAUGUGAAUGAGAAGCAUGCAUCUACAAGCCAGGGAGAGAGGCCUGGAGUAGAUCCUUCCCUCAGAGCCAAGCUUACAAACAUCUUGAUUUCAGACUUCUAGCCUCCAGAACUAUGGGACAAUACAUUGCCUUUCCAGAAGCCACCCAGGUUUUGGUACUUUGCAAUGGCAGCCCCAGAAAACUAAUGCAUACCAGAAGACUUGUUUUCAUACAUUAUUAGCCAGAACUGUGCCCCUGGCUUCCCUGACUACAAGGGAGGCCAGGCAAGUAUAUAUUUAACUGAACAUAUUUCAAUCAGAGCAUUAGGAUUCUGGUAGCAAAGAAAAAAAGUGGGGGAAGGGCGUAAAUAAUCAAGAGCAUUUUCCACCAGGGAGAAAACGCUUGCACUUAAUGAGUGGCCACAGGAUGGGUAGCUCUCCCUCCAACACUAAUCAGAUUUGAAGUAACAGCAUGUUGGGGAUAAAGUUAGGCAGUAGAAAGAGUGCAAGGGGUUUGGGGACUAGCACUCACUUUGCCGCAACUUCCUACGUGGUUUCACACAAGUUGCUUUAACCUCCAAGCCUCAGCUUUUUUAAUCUGAUAAAUGGGAUUAAUAAUCUAUGCUCUUAGCAUUUUAAUAGAGCUUUUUUUUUUUUUUUUUUUUUUUUUUCCAGACGGAGUCUCACUCUGUCACCAGGCUGGAGUGCAGUGGCACGAUCUCGGCUCACUGCAACCUCCACCUCCUGGAUUCAAGCAGUUCUCCUGCCUCAGCCUCCCGAGUAGCUGAGACUACAGGCACGCAUCACCAUACCCAGCUAAUUUUUGUAUUUUUAGUAGAGACGGGGUUUCAUCAUGUUAGCCACGACAGUCUCGAUCUCUUGACCUCGUAAUCCACCUGCCUUGGCCUCUCAAAGUGCUGGGAUUACAGAUGUGAGCCACCGUGCCCGGCCAAUUUUUAUUAUUUUUGGUUUUUUUUUUUUUUUUUUUUUUUUUUUUUGAGAUGGAGUCUCACUCUGUUGCCCAGGCUGGAGUGCAGUGGCACAGUCUUGGCUCACUGCAACCUCCGCCUCCCAGGUUCAAGUGAUUCUCCUGCCUCAGCCUCAUGAGUAGCUGGGACUAUAUGUGCCUGCCACCACGCCCAGCUAAUUUUUGUAUUUUUAGUAGAGAUGGGGUUUCACCAUAUUGGCCAGGCUGGUCUCAAACUCCUGACGUUGUGAUCCUCCCACCUUGGCUUCCAAAAGUGCUGGGAUUACAGGAGGGCAGUUUUUAAAAGGGUUUAUCAUUCUAGUGUUGUCUAUCUACACUGCCCUCUGAGAUCUGAUGGGGUAAAGCAAAGGAUACCAACUAAGCUUGCAGGCUUUGGAGUCACCUCACCUGUUCCUAUCACUUAGAUGUUGUGUGGUCCAGGAUCAGUUACUUAACAUCUCUGUGCCACAGUUUUCUUAUAUGUGUAUAAUAGGUAUAUGAUUAGUAGCUAAAUGAGACAGUUGUGAGCAUGAAAUAAUAUAUGUAAAGCAUUCAGAACAGUGCCUGGCACAUAGCAAACUUUAUAUAUGUUAGCUGUUAUUAUCAGGCCUAUCCAAUUUAUAAGUGAUAUGGAAUCGAGAAGGAUAGCAAAUGUUUUAGACCAUAAAAUCAAGAAUCUAAAAAAGAUUUUGACAGAAAGGAAAUGAGCCAAAUAUAAAAAGAUGAAGUUUAAUAAGUACACAUAAAGGUCCUGUCUUGGGGUAAAAUAGCAAGAAUGAGGGAGGCCUAUAGGUUUUUAGUUUAUUAUAAAUUUAAUAUAAGUUAACCAUGAGAUGCACUUACAAAACAAAAUUAGAUUUAGGUUGCCUUGAUAGAAACACAGUAUUGGAAACAAAGGAAAAUAGAACCCAACUCUGUCUCUGCACUGGUUGGACCACACUUGAAAUAAUAGAUUUCCUUCUAGUAUUCCUCACAGCAGCCCCUGAAAAUUGAUAAUUGCCUUCACGUUCUUUAAGGGCUGGUAUAUGAAAAAGAAAAGAGAUGUAUUUUGGGGAUGCUACAGAAGACAGAACAUCCCCAAUAUGAAUAAAGUAGAGGUCUGCUGGACUACAGCUCAGUCUUAGAUGACUAUGAGCCACCUGGAAAUGGAAUGGCCUCCUUCAGGUGGGUUGCAUGGGGGCCCCUGCUCACCUAAAUGCUUAAGCCAUAGCUGGUGGGAUAAUUCGUGGUGAAGGAUGUUGCCAAGCAGACCAACAAGUAGGCAUCCCUACUGCUUUGAGGAAGGGGUAGGUACUCCCACAGAAGUCACAUGUUGGUUGCCCAUUGGCCAAAUUUGGUCUGCUAUUGUGUAGUUUUUGUUCUAUGUGAAAUAUUUUUUUUUUCUUGUAUAUCUGGAUUCCUUGUCAAAAUUUAAAAAUCAGGAGAUUUCACACAAAAAAAAUUCUUUUUCUUUUUUUUUGCUUUCUUUGAAAGAUAAGAUGAUCUAGCAGCACAUGGUGGAUCUGUAUUGUCACAGAUGGCUGGAGUUGAGCAGUAGCCAUCACCUUUAAAUGGAAUGUGCGUCCUCCAAUUAUCCAACAUCCUCACCUGGCCCACCUUACUCAUUGAGGUUACCUGUCUGGUCCAUAAGCAUUUGAGUUUGUGAUUCACAUGCCGGUCUCUAGGGGCUUCCCUUACCCUGAGGGUCUAGACAUUUCCUUAGUUUUGUCCUGCAAACAUUAGGAGAAAUUAGUUAAAUCUGUGGAAGUGUGGGUAAAAUUCAGAUACAUGUAGAGACUGGGGAUGUGUUACAGAAUAACUGCAAGUUUUAGAAAACACUGACAUAGCAAAUGUUUAAAGCUAAGUCUACAUUAAGGAGCAAAAAACAUUAAAAAAUUUUAUUUGAAUUUUGGUUGCAAUCUACAUGUUCUAAAUAUAUAUGGUUCUUGCUGAUAUCUCCCUAAUCUUUGAACCCGUUCCAUUCUUCAUAAGUCAUCAUGGAUCCUUGCAUUGUAUUUAUUGAUGGAUGGAUGGACAAAUGGAUAGAAAUCAUGCAGGAAGGAUGGAGAACAUAGAGAAAAAUGUAACCAAAUGAGUACUAUUGUUUCUUUCUGUGACAUAUGAUCAUGUAAUAAGUGUGUAUUAAGUAUUCUGUGUCAAGCAUGGUGCCAGGUUUUAGGGGAUGCAAAAAAGGAGUAAAAAACACAGACAUGUUCUGAGGACCUUGUUACUUUUGCCCUUAUUGUUAGUUUCAGCUUAAAAGUUAGGACUCUAAAAUUUGAAAUCCAGGCUCAUUGGGUUCAAAUCCAGGCUGUACUCCUUCUGUGCUCUGUAAUUUUGAGCAAUUUACUUAACCGCUUAAUAAAAUAAGGAUGAUGCCAAUAAUAUCUAUUUCCUGAUGUUGUUUGGAGGAUUAAAUGAGAGAAUCAUGUAAGAGCAUUUAGUACAGCACUCAGCACUUAGUGAGCAUUCAAUAAAUUAUUCUAAACUAGCUUCCUUCAAUACCUGCAGAAGGAACAUCAAAAUGAGAAAAGAAGGUUCAUUUGUGUGGACACACAGACACACACACACACACACACACACCCUCACUCAAAACUGGUCUUACUUUCACACUUCUUUUCCCUUUCCUCCUUCUCCCCUUUAUCUGCUGCCUCCUCCACCUCUUUUCUCUAUGACUUCAAAGUUAAUUUUUUUAACAAUUUAUCAUCAACUUUUUAAACAUAUAGCAAUGUUGAAAAUUUUUUCCAGUAAAUAACCAUAAAUAGGUGAGAUUCUGUGCUCUAGGGGCAUUGAUUCACACUAAGCAAAGUUACAAGGAGCUAGAAUAACAAUGUAUAUCUACUAUAUUUCUUUCUCCCUUAUCCUCUGGUAUUUGACUUCUGUCUUUUAUUUAAUACUUUUUUUUUGUAUUGUAGUUCCUGUAUUUUAUUGUAUUUGUUCAUACUUCCUCUCUGGAAUAAAAGAAAUAAGAAACAAGUAUGUAAAUAAAUAAAAAUAGAUACUAUGUGUUUACAAAGGGAAAUCUCAUAUAAGUCAGUUCAUUCAAAA